ACAUGGCCAUCAUACAUCCCCUCCAGCCCCGGCUGUCAGCCACAGCCACCAAAGUGGUCAUCUGUGUCAUCUGGGUCCUGGCUCUCCUGCUGGCCUUCCCCCAGGGCUACUACUCAACCACAGAGACCAUGCCCAGCAGAGUCAUGUGCAUGAUCGAAUGGCCAGAGCAUCCGAACAAGAUUUAUGAGAAAGUAUGAAACUACAAGCCUGAGCAAGUUCCCAGAGGGAGAAAGAACACAGCUUUACAAGCCAUACAGAACCUGUGAACAUGUUCAAGCCAGAAGGUUUCCUCAAAAGGGAAAAAAAAAAUCUCCGAAUUAAAGCUCG
RNAcentral lists this small RNA (327 nucleotides) under Pan troglodytes (chimpanzee). RNAcentral describes it as "processed transcript". The record is from RNAcentral. Lineage: Eukaryota; Metazoa; Chordata; Mammalia; Primates; Hominidae.